GUCCACGCCCUAAACGAUGUCAACUGGUUGUUGAGAGGGUUUCUUCUCAGUAACGUAGCUAACGCGUGAAGUUGACCGCCUGGGGAGUACGGCCGCAAGGUUGAAACUCAAAGGAAUUGACGGGACCCGCACAAGCGGUGGAUGAUGUGGUUUAAUUCGACGCAACGCGAAAACCUUACCUACCCUUGACAUGCCUGGAAUUCCGCAGAGAUGUGGGAGUGCUCGAAAGAGAACCAGGACACAGGUGCUGCAUGGCCGUCGU
Molecule: ribosomal RNA, 262 nt
Filed under: uncultured bacterium
Lineage: Bacteria
Description: partial 16S ribosomal RNA
Rfam family: Bacterial small subunit ribosomal RNA
Source: RNAcentral